GUCGGCAGCUAGCUCUCUGCAACUCUCACAUGGUCACCCACUGAAGCUAAACAGGGCUGCGCCCUGUCAGUAGCUGGAUGGGAGACCAAGUGGGAAAGCUGGGUUGUUGCCGGAA
Danio rerio (zebrafish) is the source of this 115-nucleotide ribosomal RNA. The record is from Ensembl. Lineage: Eukaryota; Metazoa; Chordata; Actinopteri; Cypriniformes; Danionidae.